UACAGAGGGGGCAAGCGUUAUUCGGAAUUAUUGGGCGUAAAGCGCGUGUAGGCGGCUUUGCAAGUCGGGUGUGAAAGCCCUCAGCUCAACUGAGGAAGUGCGCCCGAAACUGCAGAGCUUGAGUACCGGAGAGGAUGGCGGAAUUCCCCAAGUAGAGGUGAAAUUCGUAGAUAUGGGGAGGAACACCGGUGGCGAAGGCGGCCAUCUGGACGGAUACUGACGCUGAGACGCGAAAGCGUGGGGAGCAAACAGG
Molecule: ribosomal RNA, 253 nt
Filed under: uncultured bacterium
Lineage: Bacteria
Description: partial 16S ribosomal RNA
Rfam family: Bacterial small subunit ribosomal RNA
Source: RNAcentral